RNAcentral lists this unclassified non-coding RNA (3313 nucleotides) under Anthonomus grandis grandis. RNAcentral's name for it is "platelet-activating factor acetylhydrolase IB subunit alpha1-like". Lineage: Eukaryota; Metazoa; Arthropoda; Insecta; Coleoptera; Curculionidae. The record is from RNAcentral.
AUACCGCGGCCGCUGAUGAAACAUACAUAGACGCUGCGUUGUUGGUAUCGGUUUAUUCUGUAUAAGUGUAUAGUUUCAGAGCUUCGCAUCCGCUCUUGGGAGAGUUUUGAGUCUGUUGGUUAGAAGCAACUUGGAAGCAGUGAUUAUACGUUAUUAACUUUUUUACUUUUGACCUUAUAUCUAUAAUAUAUAGACGCUAUAGCCUAGCUAUAAAUAAAUAGUCAGCGUUGCUGCGUUCUGAGUCGUGUGAGAAAGACAAUAGGAAAUACGUUUACGCACCCAUUGAACUUGAACACUGAUAUAUUUAUUCUAAUUCGGUGUCCGUGCCAAUAUAAUGGAUAGUAACCAAUCAAAAUUUAGCCGACACAAAAGCGGCGCUCAAAAAAGAAAAGCCGCCGAGGAAAAGAUAGAAAGAGUAAAGAAACUUCCCAAAAUAACAAGUUUUUUAAGUAAACCUAAACCUCCAAUUGAAAAGGAUUCCACUGAAAAUAGUUCUGACUUAGGAAACGCAAACAUUGAGAGUAGUGAUGGUACUAUAAUAAGCAGCACUAAUGAUGAUAAUUCGCACGAUGGAAAUUUAAAAGAAAAUUCAGCAGAAUCAGUGCCUUCAACAGGUAAAUCGGAUGCAACCCUUUCCCUUGAACGUUGGAAAGGCAUUGCCACCUAAUAAGAAUCCGGUGAAAUGGCCAGAGAUAAUUAGCGAUAAUUUAAUAGAUUUUUAUUUGGAAAAAGGAGUUGAAUAUUUUCAAAAUUUUGACUCUGAUAAAAGUUUUAAAGCUUCAUUAAGAUCGUACAAAUCCCAAAAUAAAAAAUUUGGAAUAUCAAUGGUAUACAAAAUUUUGGUAAACGGGGAAACGGUAAGGAGGCAGUGGAUUUUAUAUUCUCUCAGCACCGGAAAUAUUGACUGCUUUUCUUGCAAACUUUUUAAUUUCAACAAAAGUGCAUCAUUUUGUUGUGGGUUCUCAGAUUGGAAAAAGGGUCCUGAAAAAAUCGAACUCCACGAAAACAGCAAAUAGCAUAGGACUUGUAUGAAUAAACUUCUUUUGAGAAAGAAUUUAAAAAAACGAGUAGACAAAACUAUUGCAGAAGCCUUUCAGAAAGAAAAUAAUUAUUGGAUUGAUGUUUUUAAAAGAAUUGUAGUUGUAAUUAAAUUUCUGGCAGCAAGGGGUCUGCCUUUUCGUGGUGACAAUGAGAUUUUUGGGUCACCAUGUCUUUACAUGGGAAUGUUGGAACUAUUUGCCAAAUUUGAUCCUUUUAUAGAUAAUCAUAUUAAGAAUUAUGGGAGUAAAGGUGAAGGCACUGUUUUUUAUUUGUCUAAGACUAUCUGCGAGGAGUUUAUCCAAAUAAUGUCCGAUAAAGUACUAAAAAAGAUUAUAGAAGAUAUAAUAACAUCAAAAUAUUUUUCAAUAAUAGUGGAUUCUACUCCAGAUUUAUCGCACGUAGAUCAGUUAUCGAUAAUUAUCCGCUUUUGCUCUAGUGAAAAGGGUGGGCAAGUAUAUGAGAGAUUUUUAGGAUUUGUACCUAUUUUCAGUCAUACUGGUAAAUCCCUGUCGGAGGUUGUUAUAAAUUUUUUUACAAAAAAUACGCUGGAUUUAAAAUUUUGUCGUGGACAGUCAUACGACAAUGCUAGUAAUAUGUCGGGGCAGUAUAAUGGCCUUCAAGCAUAUAUAAAAGAAUCUACAAAGGUAGCUUUUUACGUGCCAUGUUUUGCACAUUCUUUAAAUUUAGUUGGAGAAUGUGCUGUUGACGAUUGCCUUGAUGCUACAAAGUUUUUUAAUUUUUUGCAAAAAUUGUAUGCUUUUUUUGGGUCCUCCACACAUCGAUGGCAUUUGCUUUUAGAUAAUAUUGGCAAAAACCUUAUUGUCAAAUCGUUAAGUACCACUCGUUGGAGCUGUAGAGAAGAUGCAGCAAAAGCGUUAGUAACAAGCUAUGUCCAAAUAAACAGCUGCUUAAAAAUGAUGUCGGAUGAUCCAUCAGAAAAAAAAGACACCAAGUUAGAAGCCAUGGGACUUUCUAAACAAAUGAUAAAAAUGGAGACUCUUGUAAUGGCUACCUUUUGGAGCAAAAUUUUAAGACUUUUUGGGGAAGCUUCUAAUAUACUUCAAAAGCCAGAUGUGGAUUUGUUGUUUGGUGAAAACAUUUUAAAAGGGCUAAUCAGAAGUGUUUCCUGUUUCCGAGACCAAUUUGACUUGUUUGAAGAAGAAGCCAAAAGUUUACUACCACAGGAAGAAUAUGAGUAUUCUAUGGGCAGGUCAGAGCAACAAAAAAAUACCCGGACGGUAAAAAUGAAAUAUUAUUGAAUGAAAGAGAAUUAUUUCGCACGCAGUCAUUUUUAGUAACAGUAGAUAAGCUGGUCAAUGAAUUAGAACGACGGUGUAAUGCAUAUUCAGAUCUUGCCCAGUUGUUUGGUUUGAUUUCAAAACUUAGCUCUAAUGUAUGUUUAUCUAAAUCAGAAGUUGAAGAGUUUUCUGCAAAAGUAAUAAGCGUGUACGCAGAUGACCUAAAUAUUAAUUUAACAGAUGAGCUGGUAUUUUUCUCGGAACUUCUUAAAACAUCUUCCGAAAAAAUAUGCACUCCACUUGAUCUUUUAAGAUAUAUUUCAGAACACCAAUUAAUUGACACGUUUUCUAACGUAUAUACGAUUUUGAAAAUUUAUCUAUCGAUACCAAUAGCAAAUUGUGAAUCUGAACGUUCCUUUUCCAAGCUAGUUUAUAUAAAAAAUAAAUAUAGAGCCACAAUGCAGGAGGAACGUCUGUCUUCUUUAACAUUAAUGUGUAUAGAAAGGGAUGUUUUGAAGGAUUUAGAGUUUAACGACGUAAUAGAAGAUUUUGUAAAACUGAAAUUACGAAAAAAGGUAUUUUAAUAUUCCUAUUUUCAAAAAAACCGUUUCUUUUAUAUAAGUAAUAUAUAUGUAGUGUUAUAAAUAAUAUUUUUUGCAUUUUAUUUGUAAGGGUUUGGGAUCCUUUAUUAGCCCCGGGCCCCAUAAAACCUUAAUCCGGCCAUGCCUUAGUCAAGAGAUUCAGCUCUAUAGAAUUGUACAAUAAGGCGUACAAUUGUAUAAAGCAUAAACCAUUAAAUAACUGUCAAUGUAAUUUUUAGUUUGACAGUUAUUUAUUUACUUUUUGUUUGAUUUUCCCACCUUUUUGCUAUUAGGAAUAAACUUUUUAGGGUCACUAAUAUACGUGAGUGGAGCCAUUGUUAAUAAAAAGCAAAUUACGCUUGUAAAUUGAAUAAGUGAAAAAUUGUUCCUUUGUUAUUAACAAACAACAGUAUAGUUUUGUACGUCUUAAGUUUCUAGAAUUUGGAUAAAAAA